RNAcentral lists this long non-coding RNA (658 nucleotides) under Homo sapiens (human). Its description in RNAcentral is "HSALNT0205270". Lineage: Eukaryota; Metazoa; Chordata; Mammalia; Primates; Hominidae. The record is from RNAcentral.
GACAGAGAGCCCUCGUCAGAUGUGUAUUUUGGAGAGGAUUACCAGUUUUCUAUGCAGUGGCUAUAUCUGCUGCCAAAGACUUUGCUGGCUGGGAAAACACUGAUUUCUUCAAGGGAAACGUCGUAAGGCAGGAGGGUGCAUGACAACUUGUAAAAGUGGGGUUGAUAACAGAGAUAGAAACACUCAGUUUUUCGCAUUGGGUUAGAAUUAUCUACAAGACAGUUUGAAGAUGGGAAAAUAUUUUGACCCAUCUCUGAUAGUUUAGAGUAAUAUUAAAAUUGACUACACAAAUAAAUAAAAUGCAUAUAGGGAUUAAAAAUACCUAUUAUUUCAUAUGCAAUGUAAUACGUUGCUUAAGUUCUUUAUUGCAGUGGAAACAAAAAAAAGAAAGAAAUACAGUAGACAAGCCAAAAUAAUUUGCAUAAAACACAACGGAAAGUGGCUGAGAAGAGGACAAUUUAGGAAAAUGAUCUCUCCAGGAAUGCUGCCAAGGAAUUAUCAUGCUCCUCACGAACCCAGCAUGGAGUCUGUGUUUCUGCUCAGCUUCCUCUCUUCCACAGCCUGCUGGCCCUCUCAGCUCUGUGCUGGCUCAGGUAGAGAUAGCUUCCUUCCCCUUGUUUGUCCCAUAAAUCAGUUUCCAUAAAGCAUCUUGGUUUGU